This 25-nucleotide transfer RNA is filed under the name Phyllolithodes papillosus. RNAcentral describes it as "tRNA-Cys". The record is from RNAcentral. Lineage: Eukaryota; Metazoa; Arthropoda; Malacostraca; Decapoda; Lithodidae.
UAUUUAAGUGGCUUUAUAGUGGAAA